Molecule: ribosomal RNA, 555 nt
Filed under: Corythalia bicincta
Lineage: Eukaryota; Metazoa; Arthropoda; Arachnida; Araneae; Salticidae
Description: partial 16S ribosomal RNA
Rfam family: Bacterial large subunit ribosomal RNA (bases 172-466)
Source: RNAcentral
UUUUUAGUAAAAUCUGCUCAAUGAAUUUUUAAAUAGCCGCAAUUUUAGUGCUAAGGUAGCAUAAUAAUUUGUCUUUUAAAUAAGGACUAGAACAAAAGAUUUAACAUUUUAUUCAAUUUAUUAAAAUUAAAAUUCUAAAUUAAUUUAAUUGUAAUAAAGCAAUUAUUAAUAAGAAAGACGACAAGACCCUAUCGAACUUAACUUUAGUUAAACUGGGGUAGUUAAUCAUUUAUUAUUUUAAUAUUAUUAUAUAUUAAUAUAUCUAGAACUUUUAAUUAAUCUAGUUACCGUAGGGAUAACAGCGCAAUAAUAUUUUAAAGUUCUCAUAUAAAAAAUAGAUUACGACCUCGAUGUUGAAUUAAUUACCUAAUUUAAGCAAAUUUAAAAAAAGGAAGUCUGUUCGACUUUUAAACAAUUACAUGAUUUGAGUUCAGACCGGUGUAAACCAGGUCGGUUUCCAUCUUCUUAAGAUAUUUUUGUAGUACGAAAGGACCUAAAAAUCUUUACAUUUUAUAUUAGCAAAUAAAUGCAUUAGAAUUAGAAUCUAAUAAAACU